Osmia lignaria (orchard mason bee) is the source of this 5548-nucleotide non-coding RNA. NCBI's taxonomy places the organism in Eukaryota, Metazoa, Arthropoda, Insecta, Hymenoptera, Megachilidae. The record is from RefSeq and is a predicted model, not a curated record.
GGCGGGGAGAGGCAGGCACGGUAAUGUUUAUAGUGUGUAUUAGUGCGCGUCCUAUCUUGUCUUGUCGUUUAUUGUGAGUUAUAAACAGUGAAAAACUUGCUGCUCUGCUUAAAUAUGUCACAAUCUUCUGAUGAAUGAAGACUGGAAAGGGUGUGAGAGGACGGUACGAGCGACCAUGAAGCAACGUAGAAGUGCAAGGUACCCGAAGGAAGGAAGUAAGCUGGUCGUGAGGAAGAAGGGAGAGAAGAGGUUAUUAUAACGAGGAACGUUGUAAUAUCAUGGACGUACGGCGGAGGGUGUGUAAUUUAUGGGAUUUCGUAUGGAAGAUAUUGCCAUCGACGCUCGGAAAUGUGCCUUCGGAGACGCCGAAAACGUGACUCCGAGUAAUUGAGAUCAUCGUGUUUGCGAGAGUUAUUGAUGGAACCUUGGUACUGAAAUCGUUGGACGGAAAUUAUCUUUACAAAGAAUCUCGAGAAUCUGAAAUAUAACGAGUAGCUGACAAAUAAUUAUCAUGAGAUUAGAUAAUAAGAAAUAUUGCAUGUUUAGUAUUAGACCGUAGUUACCACCUCGAUUAGAAAUGAUACCUACGGCUGACAUCAGUAUUAAUUGUUAAUACUUUCUAUCAACAAACUCACCACCGUUACUCGUUAGGUCAGUCUUGGUUUAAUCCGCAGUUAAAACAAAACUGGACACUGACCGAUCGUUUCUAAAGGAGCCGGACAUCUGGUUGAACGGACUCAACGAGAUCUCUAGAUCCUGAUUAAUUACUUGGUGUUGGCGUAUCUCUUGGCAGGAACUAGAUAAAUCGCGACUGACUACCGGAACCGUUAGAACGAAGGAUAACGUAGAAAGAAAAAAAAUAGAAAAGAAGAAAUGACGGUUGGGGGGGUCGAUGAUCGUUAAAACCGUAAAAUCGGCAUAUGGGGUCGUCGCAAUCGGUCGUCGCUGGCAAAGAUCAAUAAUUCGAUCUCGAUAUAAAUUCAACGGUAGGGGAGGAGAUCGUUUCUCAUCCGCUGGGGUCGCAAACACGUUUCAUGGAUGGGGUUGAAACCGAUCGCCCUUUUUUUUUUUCAUCGAUCACCCUUCCCACCCGAUGCAUUGCUUGCCACUCGCGUCCGUGGAAUCUAAUUUUACCGGCGGCACGUUGAAAGUAUAUCGAAAAAAUGUGACAUAACGUCAAUAUCUCACGGUUAAUAAUUUCUGUUUUGUUCAAGCGACGCUUUUCGAUUAUUAUUAUUUGCGCUUUUAUUUUUAACUUAUUGCUUCCCUUACGUGACAAGCCCUCUGCUUUUAUAAUAUUAAUACAUUGAUUGCUCUAGUGAAAAUGGAUGUACACAGGGCUAAUAGUUGCACAUUGAACUAAACUCAACAAAGUAGCAUAAUAGUGUCUUAAUCAAAAAUUUUAUACUAACUUGUCCAAUUAUCGUUGUAUGAUAAUUAGUGUAAUUAUUAAUUUCAAUUUCUAAAUUCAUUAAGUCCUUAAGAAACAAACAGCCCGACUAAUCAUCAAGGCAAUAUUUUAUCCCGGUGGAUUAGUUAUUACCAUAUUUUUACUGUCGAUUUGGUGAUAUCAGUGUCUUUAACAGUUUAGCACGUUAAAAUUCGUUUUUUUCCAUGCACGUUCGUUGUUCGUGACAUUUGGAAAGUUUUCAUCCAGCUAUCGCGGGGCAUCGCGACAGGAAUACUAGAAAUCGCAUAAACGUGGAGCACCAGGAAUCCAAUAGUCGUGAGCAGAACAAUGGCGUCACGAUGCUCGAUAAAAAUUGGCAUGGUUUUAUUAUGCAGUCCUAGGGUUCGAAGUACUGGGUGUCUGAUGAGUCGACUCGAGGAUCUUCCUCUGGGAAAUACUCAUCUUAUCCUCCAUUUCCCCAUAUGUUUACGAUAGGUACCUCUUCUAUGACACGCUGUUCCUUUUUUUCGAUGUAGUUCUCAAUGCUCCUGGCUUAUUGGCAAUUUGUUGAUUACUUGAAAAGAUUUCUGUGUCAUUUUGAAUACUUAACACGUUGAUUGCCGCAGUGAAAAUGAGUAUUUGUUACGAAACGUAUCGAAGCUCUAAUUAUUAAGAAUAGGAAUAGUUCAUUUUCAAAUUUCAAAUGUCAUGCUUUUAAUUUAGUACCUUACAUUAUUAGUAUAAUAACGAUUCUAUUGAAAAUAAUAUUUUUCUAUCGUUUUCUUUGAAUUAUUAGAGUACAUGUAAUUUGCGAUGAUUGUUUAUCUCUACUCUUGGAAAUGUUUAUACGCAAUGGCAACACAUUGUACAAAUUAGUCACGGGAGGGUGGAAACGUUUUUCGGUAAAACUUCUUGUGUCGGGACACGUAGGGGACUAUGGUCAUCCAUAAAAUUCGAAGGGUACGAGCGACAGCCACUCCUUCCUCUUGCAGCUUCGUAGCCCGAAUAAACUCCUGGCACGAAGCUAAUCAUAUUUUCUAAUCCAACGCUGAAAGUGGAGAGAAUGGUGAACGAAGGAGGAAAAAGCUCGCGUUGCCGGCUAUCAUAUAAUUUUUCCGACAAAAAGCACUUACGCUUCCUCGUCCCCUGCUAUAACCUAUUCACCCCCUUGGAAACAUGUUGCAAGCCGGACGAGGACGGAAAGCUUGAAAGAAAAGAUGAAAAUUUAUAUCGAAUUCUGUGGAACAUUUUGUAAGCUUCGCAACACCUUCGUUGCUUAAACUUCAUAAUGUGCUAUUAAAAUUCCUUGAAACUGUACAGUUUCCGCUUAUUUCAAAGCGUUCUUCGUUUAAACAUACUUUUACCAAUUGUUUCGAAAACUUUUGGAUCGGAUAAAAUUCUAAAGCAUGUGUAUAAGGGGGAUGGAAAAUAUUAAAUUACUUUGUAGAUUAUAAAAUUUAUUAUCACGUCAAUUACCAUUGAAAUUUUAAUUAUUAUUCAUUCUAUAAUAUUCAUUUUUAUUUGAUCAUAAUAUCGAGUAUCUCAAAUGGAAAAAUAUAAUUUUUUUAAGUCUCUCAGCCGGAUGCGCCCUAUGUGUAUUUAUUAAAUAACUACGUUCUUACGCUACAAUUAACAUGAUCAAUAAUUUAAAAAAAGGAGAACUAUGAAUAAUAUUAUUAUUGCAUUAAUAACGUGCAGAAGUACAUUCAUUAAGUUUUUAAUAAUCUGGGCAAUAGUAAAUUCAAGGCACACAUGUACACCUGCUGCCAUCUAUGAACAAGAGCGUCGCGUCGUUUUCUGUUCUUCUUCAAGUACAACGCCGUUCUCCACUGUUGAUUGUUAGAUCAGUUUUCGCUUUUAGAUACAAUUUCUGUUGUAAGUUUUAUGGUAAAAGUUGUGUAUUAUAACAAUAAUGCAACGGAGUCUCGAUUAUCCAAGUUUUGUUUAAUCAAAGUUCCGUGUUAUCUGUGGUACUUUGAACUUUAUAUUAGAUGGUGGCAUUAAUUUUGAAAUUUAUAUUAUUCUUCACUAUAUAAAGUGAAUAUUUUAUUGCGAAUUAAUUUGUAUUGAUAUAAAAAUUUCCUACUUAAAAACGCAAUACAAACGAUCAAAUAACAAUGCAAAAGCUAACUAUCCUGCUUUUCUUAUUAAAAUGAAAACGUAAAAGACAGUACAUUUCCACGAGAAGCAUUUCUAAGAAGUUUACGAAAGAACUCACCCCGCCUGCUUUUCGCAUUUCCAGAAAUUAACGGGAGGAAUAAUCAGUAAACUCCGGAGUCCUUUGAAUUCCUUUGAAAGUGUUCUACCAAGAAGAAGUUACACGGUACCGAGAGAGGAACGUGUAACGAGCAGGUCCGAUGGUACGCGGAAGAGUACGGGGCCAGGGGGUGUAGGAGGGAAAUGUGUCGGAAGGGGUGGUAGAAAUUAAGUCGGUUCCCCACCCUCAACGUUCCUCGAAACGACACCUCUUUUUUCUCCUUUUCUUCUUCCACUACUUCUUUCUCCUCUCCUCGUCGUGCGUUGGAUUCUGAAAUAAGCUUACCCUCCCCCUCCCCUCGCCCCUUCCCGGACCACCUUUAUCCGCUCCUCUUCCCUGACCCCCACCCUCUUCCAGUUUCAGCGACUUCGAGCACCUUUCCACACGAGAGCGCAUGCAUGCAUGCACCCAUACUAAUUCUCCGCGUUCCCAUCUCCUCGCGUGCGUAUGUGUCGGCCUACGUACGUGUAUCAAAUCCCCUAAAAGGGUGCUGGACCUGCGCGUCAAGGGUAGGUGGUACCAAAAUGGCCGAAGCCGCACCCACGACACUCGAGUGGGGGCGAUUCAGGGGAAUCGAUUCGGGUGGGGGAUUACACAUGACGACACACGUGUACACGAGGCUGAUGCCAGCGAAUGAAAGAGUGUGCGACCAAUGAACCGUGUGCGCGCACACGCGUGUAUAUGUGCGCGAACGAUACUGCUGCGCGAUACACGUCGCUCGCGAUGUAACCCGGGCAUGCCAGUUGGAAGGAUACAAAUCUGACCAUACCUAUGCGCUAUUCCGAAGAUACAGCUCGUUUACUGAUGCAAUUAACCCAGCUAAUUAUACAAAUUAAUUAAUUACCCUAAUUGUGUCGCAGAAAGUUGUUAUUCGACACUAUCAUAUAGUCGUCGUUGAAAAGGUAACAUUAGGACUUCUAUUCAAUUUAUUACAUACGAAUUAUGGAGCAACUAUUAUAUUACCCAAAAAUGGUUAUACAUCAAAGAAGAUGCAUUUCCGGGCCUAUGUUUAUGUCAUCCUUCGACCACCUAUUUUCCUGACAGCCUGAUUUGAAAAAUUGAUUCAAUUAGUUCACAGUUCCUGAAGAAGGUACUUCUUAUGAUUGUACGGUUAUUAAGAGAACCUUUAGACAUUUAUGGACAGCAGAAUCUUACCUGUUUAUAUAAUGAACGUUUUUUACGUUGAUCGUCAGUCGGUAGACUGUCAGCAACAAACACGACCAAACUUAAAUCGCGCUUUCGUCGAACUCGAAGGAUGCGAGAAGAAGUUUCGUUUGGCGAGGAGAAAUGAGGGACGGGGUGCGGCGAGGUCUCGUUCGAACCCCUGAACAAUUGCCGCUUCAGCAAUAGUACGAAGGCAAUAUCGUUUUCCCCGAGGAAGAAAAACAUGCAGAUUCGAUCGAUCGCGCGGGAGGUCGAAAUUCCAGCGUGUUCUGGGGGCUUCCUGCGGCAGACAGAGUGUCCUUUUUUGUCGCCCUAAAUAUCCACCCUCUUGCUGGCAAAAAAAAGGACACGGGAGACACGCAUGGGUCCUCGAUGGCUUCGUGGGGAUGGGUGAAAGGACGUGUGUGUGCGUGUGUUAUUUUUUCCGAGGCAUUAAGCUUGCUUUCCUGAGGGUAGGGGUGGUUGUUCUCCGAUAGGGAUGAGGUAUAGUUUAGUUUAGGGAUUCCACACGAAACACAGCCAAAGACUCGGCUUCUGUAAUACGCUCUCCUCUUCAUCCCGCGUUGCUUUCCAUCGUUUUCAAAGAUUUGUCAUGGGAUUUGGCAGCGUUAAGCGCCGAUGCUUGUCUUCGUUAAAAUAUUGAACAAUAUUUGAAGCUGACAUCACUUUUCAAACUUAUUUGGUCAAAAACAUUAUUAGAGUGUAUUGUAUUCUUCAUCAAACUGCUCGUAUUAUAA